UACGGAGGAUGCGAGCGUUAUCCGGAUUUAUUGGGUGUAAAGGGUGCGUAGACGGGAAGGCAAGUUGGUUGUGAAAUCCCUCGGCUUAACUGAGGAACUGCAACCAAAACUAUCUUUCUUGAGUGCUGGAGAGGAAAGUGGAAUUCCUAGUGUAGCGGUGAAAUGCGUAGAUAUUAGGAGGAACACCAGUGGCGAAGGCGACUUUCUGGACAGUAACUGACGUUGAGGCACGAAGGCCAGGGGAGCGAAAGGG
Molecule: ribosomal RNA, 253 nt
Filed under: uncultured Eubacteriales bacterium
Lineage: Bacteria; Bacillati; Bacillota; Clostridia; Eubacteriales
Description: uncultured Clostridiales bacterium partial 16S ribosomal RNA
Rfam family: Bacterial small subunit ribosomal RNA
Source: RNAcentral